UACGUAGGUGGCAAGCGUUGUCCGGAAUUAUUGGGCGUAAAGAGCUCGUAGGCGGUUCGGCAAGUCGGAUGUGAAAUCUCCACGCUCAACGUGGAGGGGCCAUCCGAUACUGCCGUGACUCGAGUCCGGUAGGGGAGUGCGGAAUUCCCGGUGUAGCGGUGAAAUGCGCAGAGAUCGGGAGGAACACCCGUAGCGAAGGCGGCACUCUGGGCCGGUACUGACGCUGAGGAGCGAAAGCGUGGGGAGCGAACAGG
Molecule: ribosomal RNA, 254 nt
Filed under: uncultured bacterium
Lineage: Bacteria
Description: partial 16S ribosomal RNA
Rfam family: Bacterial small subunit ribosomal RNA
Source: RNAcentral